AUUGAACGCUGGCGGCGGGCCUAACACAUGCAAGUCGAACGGUAGCACAGAGGAGCUUGCUCCUCGGGUGACGAGUGGCGGACGGGUGAGUAAUGUCUGGGGAUCUGCCCGAUAGAGGGGGAUAACCACUGGAAACGGUGGCUAAUACCGCAUAACGUCGCAAGACCAAAGAGGGGGACCUUCGGGCCUCUCACUAUCGGAUGAACCCAGAUGGGAUUAGCUAGUAGGCGGGGUAACGGCCCACCUAGGCGACGAUCCCUAGCUGGUCUGAGAGGAUGACCAGCCACACUGGAACUGAGACACGGUCCAGACUCCUACGGGAGGCAGCAGUGGGGAAUAUUGCACAAUGGGCGCAAGCCUGAUGCAGCCAUGCCGCGUGUAUGAAGAAGGCCUUCGGGUUGUAAAGUACUUUCAGCGGGGAGGAAGGCGAUGUGGUUAAUAACCGCAUUGAUUGACGUUACCCGCAGAAGAAGCACCGGCUAACUCCGUGCCAGCCGCCGCAGUAA
Molecule: ribosomal RNA, 506 nt
Filed under: uncultured bacterium
Lineage: Bacteria
Description: partial 16S ribosomal RNA
Rfam family: Bacterial small subunit ribosomal RNA
Source: RNAcentral